UACGAAGGGUGCAAGCGUUACUCGGAAUUACUGGGCGUAAAGCGUGCGUAGGUGGUUUUUUAAGUCCGUUGUGAAAGCCCCGGGCUCAACCUGGGAAUUGCAUUUGAGACUGCGUAGCUAGGGUGCGGAAGAGGGAAGCGGAAUUUCCGGUGUAGCGGUGAAAUGCGUAGAUAUCGGAAGGAACACCAGUGGCGAAAGCGGCUUCCUGGUCCAGCACCGACGUUCAGGCACGAAAGCGUGGGGAGCAAACAGG
RNAcentral lists this ribosomal RNA (253 nucleotides) under uncultured bacterium. RNAcentral describes it as "partial 16S ribosomal RNA". It matches the Rfam family "Bacterial small subunit ribosomal RNA", at positions 524 to 776 of the family's 1533-position model. The record is from RNAcentral.